AAACUUUCAACAACGGAUCUCUUGGUUCUCGCAUCGAUGAAGAACGCAGCGAAAUGCGAUAAGUAAUGUGAAUUGCAGAUUUUCGUGAAUCAUCGAGUUUUUGAACGCACAUUGCGCCCUUUGGUAUUCCAAAGGGCAUGCCUGUUUGAGCGUCAUU
RNAcentral lists this ribosomal RNA (157 nucleotides) under Candida wuzhishanensis. RNAcentral describes it as "5.8S ribosomal RNA". It matches the Rfam family "5.8S ribosomal RNA". Rfam says of the family: 5.8S ribosomal RNA (5.8S rRNA) is a component of the large subunit of the eukaryotic ribosome. It is transcribed by RNA polymerase I as part of the 45S precursor that also contains 18S and 28S rRNA. Functionally, it is thought that 5.8S rRNA may be involved in ribosome translocation. The record is from RNAcentral. Lineage: Eukaryota; Fungi; Ascomycota; Pichiomycetes; Serinales; Debaryomycetaceae.